AACGAACGCUGGCGGCAUGCCUAACACAUGCAAGUCGAACGAAGGCUUCGGCCUUAGUGGCGCACGGGUGCGUAACGCGUGGGAAUCUGCCCUUUGCUUCGGAAUAACAGUUAGAAAUGACUGCUAAUACCGGAUGAUGUCGCAAGACCAAAGAUUUAUCGGCAAAGGAUGAGCCCGCGUAGGAUUAGCUAGUUGGUGGGGUAAGGGCCUACCAAGGCGACGAUCCUUAGCUGGUCUGAGAGGAUGAUCAGCCACACUGGGACUGAGACACGGCCCAGACUCCUACGGGAGGCAGCAGUGGGGAAUAUUGGACAAGGGGCGAAAGCCUGAUCCAGCAAUGCCGCGUGAGUGAUGAAGGCCUUAGGGUUGUAAAGCUCUUUUACCCGGGAUGAUAAUGACAGUACCGGGAGAAUAAGCUCCGGCUAACUCCGUG
RNAcentral lists this ribosomal RNA (433 nucleotides) under uncultured bacterium. Its description in RNAcentral is "partial 16S ribosomal RNA". It matches the Rfam family "Bacterial small subunit ribosomal RNA", at positions 29 to 507 of the family's 1533-position model. The record is from RNAcentral.